AUACUUACCUGGCAAGGGAGACACCGUGAUCACCAAGGCGGUUUACCCAGGGCGAGGCUCGGCCAUUGCACUCCGGCUGUGCUGACCCCUGCGAAUUUCCCAAAUGUGGAAAUCUCGAUUGCAUAAUUUCUGGUAGUGGGGGACUGCGUUCGCGCUCUCCCCUG
Small nuclear RNA from Esox lucius (northern pike), 164 nucleotides. Its record names the gene U1. It matches the Rfam family "U1 spliceosomal RNA". Rfam says of the family: U1 is a small nuclear RNA (snRNA) component of the spliceosome (involved in pre-mRNA splicing). Its 5' end forms complementary base pairs with the 5' splice junction, thus defining the 5' donor site of an intron. The record is from Ensembl. Lineage: Eukaryota; Metazoa; Chordata; Actinopteri; Esociformes; Esocidae.